Long non-coding RNA from Cebus imitator (Panamanian white-faced capuchin), 2872 nucleotides. RefSeq lists it as uncharacterized. The transcript is spliced from 3 exons. Lineage: Eukaryota; Metazoa; Chordata; Mammalia; Primates; Cebidae. The record is from RefSeq and is a predicted model, not a curated record.
CUCCCCUGAGAAUCCAGGUUCCUGACUUCUGGUCUCCUGCACGCUCGGUGCUAUGCAGUGUCAGCCCAGUGUCUGGCUCACAGCAGCCCUGGUGAGUAUCUCUUGGGGAGUACCUUUACCACCUGUGUAUUACAGCUUCCCAAGGAUUCGGAGUAAGGGAAAGAAGCCAUUUAAACAAAAUUACUUUUGAAACACAGAUGAGCUCACAAUCUAGAAAAAAAAAAUGGUGCUUGGCAGGAAAUGUUUAGGAUUUGGCAGAUUCUGAAGGUCACAUUGUUUGAUGCUUCCAUAAACCUGCUGCUUCUCCUCUUCCCUAAACAUCAGCUCCCAAGAGAGAAGGUCAGCCCAGGGCUCUCCAGGCGAUGACAGUUCCUUGGAUAACAUGCAACCUUUUCUGGAAGGCCCAUUCCCUCAGCGCUCAGCUCAGCACCCAUCCAGAGCACCUCACUUCCCUUCUCACCAUGGUUUCCCUACCAAUAGAUUCCACACGCACAUAGGGUGAUAGAGGGUCAGUUCAGCUGACCAUGUUUCCCAGCAAUGGACAAUAGAUUCCUCACUGGGGAGAAAGGAGUCUUUUGACCUGGGAUUCCCCUUGUCUCUAAUGAGCCACUAGGGGCCAUGGUACAGGCAGCCAAUCCUAAGGACUCUCCCUCUCCUCUGGUUCUUCAGCCUGGUUUUUCAGUCUGCACACUACUUGGUUUACGGUGCCUGGAGAACCUGAAGCCAAAAAGAUGCUUACCCCUGACUUCUCUGAUUUCAGGGUUCCUUACUACCUAAUGUCCACCCCUGGUUCAUAAUCAGCUUGAAGGAAGACACAACCAAAACUCUACCUUUGCACCGGCUGUGAAAUGGGAUCAGAGGAUUCCGGUAAAAGUUUGUUAGGCCGAGUGGGACAUAUCCAAGGCCUCCUAAGAAAGGAGGCUGGAUGUAGCUGUGGAGCCACUUCUGGAGGUCUGGAUAAGCAUGGGUAAAGCAUGCCUCCCACCUGCAAUUUGCAGACCAUACUGUGUGGCCUUAAAGCCCUGGGAUCAGUGAGGAGGCCCCGGGCCAAAAUUCUGGUUCAAACUGUGAGCCCAAACAGAUAGGCUUUCAUUAUGGUAGAAAAAAAAUGUAUCAAGUGAGUGGGUGUUUGUUUUGGUUUUUAGAAUAUUAACAUGGUUUAAUACCGUCGUCUGGAGGGUUUAGAAGAAUGACAUACGUAGCAAAGUUCUUGGCACCCAGUAGGAACUCAAUAAAUGAUAGCUAUUGAAUUUCCCUCUUCUCUGUCCAGCAGGAAGCGCAGACCUGCCCACUCUGGGCCUUCCUCCUUGGGAGCCUGAUGCGUUUUGCAGCGAAGCCGCCCUUCCCCCAACUCAGCCACCUCUGAGUGCUGGUUGUGCCCCUGCCUCGGUAACUGGGUCAUCUCUUCCCUGUCUCCGGCACUCAGCAGAGGAAAUCAAAUGAGUGUUAAUUGAGGGCUGGGUUCAUCAAAACUACUGCUCUUUUCUGGUGUGCUUUAUUUAAGUGUAAGCCAAUCCAAGCUUACCAUGGGGUUUCUAUGUAACUGAGAGUUCCCAGUGCUUUGUGGCAGGGCUCGCAUUCAUUCCAGACAAAGCAUAAUGAGCCGCAAUCUCACAUUACCUAAUCACAUGGAGGCAGCGCGGAUCACAAUGCCGUAUUUGGCAUUUCUGUGGUGCGCUCCAUCUGAGGAGCUCAAAGGGCUUAAAGAAAACCCUUUCUUUAUUUGGGAAGUAUUAUUAUCUGGGUUUUACAGAGAGAGAUACCGAGAGGUGAAGUGACCUGCUUUAAGACCACACAGCAAGACGUCUCUGGGCUGAGAGGGAGCCCAGCAGCUGACAGGCCCUCCUUGGCCAGACUUCACAGGCUCAAAACAGAAAGCUGCUCACACAGAGCCUGUCCUCACCGGGCCCCGUGGGGGACUCACGCAGGAGACGGAACUCAAUAGCAGAGAUGGAGGCAGAGGGAAUUUAAAAGCAUCCGCCGGAGGAAAGGUGUGCAAAGACCUGGCUCAGCCCCGAGGGAGCAGACUGCAGGAUGAGUUGCGCUGACAGAGCACGAAGCCGUGAACUGUGUUCAGCAGACCAGGAGAAGGUGAACUUGAAUAAGAAGUCCCAGAUGCCCUGUGAACAACCAUUAGUAAAGCAUUGUUGGAUGGGGACUGCCAGGAAGCAGAAUUUGAUGACAGCUUUUGGGUUUGACUUGCCAGUGAGCAUGUUUGGCCGGGUGUGGGGCUUCCGUGGUGUAGCUGGCCCGCGGCCUUGGAUUUCUUCCCGUUUUCAAUGGGCGCACUGCAUUUCCCAAAUGGACUCUUGCAAAGGGCAUCUCACAAGUCUGUGUGUGUAAGUGUACGUGUGUGUAAGUGUACGUGCGUGCACACGUAGAAAACAGCCCGCUUCUUGGAUGUCCGGCCUUUAAAAUGACAUCAAAUCACCCUCGUCACCAUCUGCAAACAUGCCUUGAGCACUCAGUAUUGCAAAGCACCGUUCUAGAUGUCAUGAGGAAUGCAACAAAAUAGGGUUCCUUCUGUGGCUUUCAGAGGUUUACAGACUCAGUUAGGCAGAUAAAAUCAAUAAUAUCCCAUUUAUAUCAGUCCAGUUUCUUGAUUGUAUGCCUUGGAAAUCAACUCUGGUUAAGCUGUAUUCCAGGUGGGAGGACCUGAUGAGCUCUCUUCCAGGUAGGGUGACACUAGAUGCAUGUGUCUGGAAUGCAGCCUGAGGAAGUUAGUCAUGUCUGGAGCAGGGUGUGUCUAAUGACCCAGGUGGAAAACGGUGUACUCACAGAAUGUGACCACAAAAAAAGAUGUUGAAGGCAGGCACAGUGGCUCAUGCCUGUAAUCCCAGCACUUUGGGAAGCCAAGGUGGGCGGAUCACAA